RNAcentral lists this ribosomal RNA (327 nucleotides) under uncultured eukaryote. RNAcentral describes it as "partial 18S ribosomal RNA". It matches the Rfam family "Eukaryotic small subunit ribosomal RNA", at positions 1470 to 1796 of the family's 1831-position model. The record is from RNAcentral.
CCCUUAGAUGUUCUGGGCUGCACGCGCGCUACACUGACGAAUGCAACGAGCUUAUAACCUUGGCCGAAAGGUCUGGGUAAUCUCCAAAUUUCGUCGUGAUGGGGAUAGAUUAUUGCAAUUAUUAAUCUUCAACGAGGAAUGCCUAGUAAGCGCAAGUCAUCAGCUUGCGUUGAUUACGUCCCUGCCCUUUGUACACACCGCCCGUCGCUCCUACCGAUUGAAUGGUCCGGUGAAGCGUUCGGACCGUGGCCUUUGGACGGUUCGCCGUCUGUUGGCUGCGGGAAGUUCGUUAAACCUUAUCAUUUAGAGGAAGGAGAANUCGUANCA